UGUCAAGUGGCUCAGAUGGUAAAGUGUCUGCCUGCAAUGCGGGAGACCCAGGUUUGAUCCCUGGUUCGGGAA
RNAcentral lists this transfer RNA (72 nucleotides) under Bos taurus (domestic cattle). It matches the Rfam family "tRNA". Rfam says of the family: Transfer RNA (tRNA) molecules are approximately 80 nucleotides in length. Their secondary structure includes four short double-helical elements and three loops (D, anti-codon, and T loops). The record is from Rfam by way of RNAcentral. RNAcentral also lists the same sequence under 4 other names. Lineage: Eukaryota; Metazoa; Chordata; Mammalia; Artiodactyla; Bovidae.